GCCGGGCAUGGUGGUGCAUGCCUGAAGUUCCAGUUACUCAGAAGGCUGAGGUAAGAGGACUGCUUGAGCUCAGGAGUUCAAGGUUACAGUGAGCUAUAAUCACGCCACUGCACUCUAGCCUGGGCAACAGAGCAAGACCCUGUCUCAA
This is an unclassified non-coding RNA of Macaca fascicularis (crab-eating macaque), 148 nucleotides long. It matches the Rfam family "Metazoan signal recognition particle RNA". Rfam says of the family: The signal recognition particle (SRP) is a universally conserved ribonucleoprotein. The record is from Ensembl. NCBI's taxonomy places the organism in Eukaryota, Metazoa, Chordata, Mammalia, Primates, Cercopithecidae.